CCUGAACUUAAUACUUUCCACAUGCAAUGAUUUUUCAUUCGUUUAUAGCCAGUUUAAAAACCGGCCGGUCCGUGUGCACAUUAAUAAAGGAUAUAACAAUAUAAUCAAUCACCGCUAUAUAAGCCUAUAUUAUUCAUAAAACAUGCUUAUUUUGCAUAAACAAAGUGAACUUAUUCAAAACCCUUGAAACAAUUCAGAAAGAUACAAAUACACAAACAUCUUUAUUCUGCCGUUUCGUUCUAGAAACGAAGAAUAUUUACAAGAACUUCACGAGUUUCUAUAAACCACGCACUAUAGUAUAUUACCACGAUGUGUCAUUUAACUUUUUCAACGACAUUAAUUCAAGUAGACGCUCACUCAGUCGGUCUCUUGAACUAUCAAAACAAUGCCAGUUAAGUCACGAAAGGAAAUUAAUGAAAACUAGAAAAAAUUAAGCACAUUUUGGAUCUGGAUGUGGAAUCUUCCUACCUGUUCUAUCAAUCUGAACACUUUUGGGCGUUUUAAAACGUGGCAAAUUGGACAUUUUAGCCUACGAAGGAUUUUCGACUGAUGAUUGCAUGAGUGAACAUAAAAGUGUUUCUCAAGAGAUAUUGUGGAUAAUCUCAUGCAUGUGACAAAAAAUUUCACGCAAAUAAAAUUUCACGCAAAUAUUCACUUUAUAUUCUGUAAAUGGUAUAAAUCAGAGCAUGAAGCUAGUGCCAAGUCCCAAAUGUUUUUUUUCUAAUUUUUUUAGCCUGCUUUGAAGAGAAUAUUUGAAG
Molecule: non-coding RNA, 758 nt
Organism: Paramuricea clavata
Lineage: Eukaryota; Metazoa; Cnidaria; Anthozoa; Malacalcyonacea; Plexauridae
Source: the annotation of a GenBank genome assembly